RNAcentral lists this transfer RNA (62 nucleotides) under Spathoderma clenchi. Its description in RNAcentral is "tRNA-Thr". The record is from RNAcentral. Lineage: Eukaryota; Metazoa; Mollusca; Caudofoveata; Chaetodermatida; Prochaetodermatidae.
UCUAAGUAAGCUGAGUGCAGCAGUCGGCCUUGUAAGUCGAAAGAGGGGCCCCCCGCUUAGAG